GACGAACGCUGGCGGCGUGCUUAACACAUGCAAGUCGAACGGAAAGGCCCUACUUUUGUGGGGUGCUCGAGUGGCGAACGGGUGAGUAACACGUGAGUAACCUGCCCUUGACUUUGGGAUAACUUCAGGAAACUGGGGCUAAUACCGGAUAGGAGCUCCUGCUGCAUGGUGGGGGUUGGAAAGUUUCGGCGGUUGGGGAUGGACUCGCGGCUUAUCAGCUUGUUGGUGGGGUAGUGGCUUACCAAGGCUUUGACGGGUAGCCGGCCUGAGAGGGUGACCGGCCACAUUGGGACUGAGAUACGGCCCAGACUCCUACGGGAGGCAGCAGUGGGGAAUAUUGCACAAUGGGUGGAAGCCGGAUGCAGCAACGCCGUGGGCGGGAUGACGGCCUUCGGGUUGUAAACCGCUUUCGCUCAUGACGAAGCUUUGUGUGACGGUAGUGGGUAAAGAAGCACCGGCUAACUACGUG
RNAcentral lists this ribosomal RNA (469 nucleotides) under uncultured bacterium. RNAcentral's name for it is "partial 16S ribosomal RNA". It matches the Rfam family "Bacterial small subunit ribosomal RNA", at positions 28 to 507 of the family's 1533-position model. The record is from RNAcentral.